Molecule: ribosomal RNA, 301 nt
Filed under: uncultured bacterium
Lineage: Bacteria
Description: partial 16S ribosomal RNA
Rfam family: Bacterial small subunit ribosomal RNA
Source: RNAcentral
CAGUCGCCACGGGAAUACAGAGGGUGCAAGCGUUAAUCGGAAUUACUGGGCGUAAAGCGCGCGUAGGUGGUUUGUUAAGUUGGAUGUGAAAUCCCCGGGCUCAACCUGGGAACUGCAUCCAAAACUGGCAAGCUAGAGUAUGGUAGAGGGUGGUGGAAUUUCCUGUGUAGCGGUGAAAUGCGUAGAUAUAGGAAGGAACACCAGUGGCGAAGGCGACCACCUGGACUGAUACUGACACUGAGGUGCGAAAGCGUGGGGAGCAAACAGGAUUAGAUACCCCGGUAGUCCCUGUCUCUUAUAC